UCGUAUCUCCUUUUCCCAAAUCGUCCACUUUUGUGCACAAUCUGAGCUUCGAUUUGGGAGAAUUUACUGUAGUUGUUUUACCGAUUUAUCGUAGGUUUUUAGAGAUACUCGAUGAAGUUUCUGUAAGGGCGCGAUCGUUGGGUGGACGCUACGGAGGAUUUUAAGCGUUGAUCGCUUUGAUGGAUUUUGGAACUGUUUGCUGUUUUACCAAUUUAUAUUCUGCGAACAUUUCGCGAUGUUUCUGAGGACAGUGUGGAGGAUGUUACGCGAUUUACGCCAGAUGCAAUUUUUGUAGGAACAAUAUGAUUUGGAGGACGCUAUGAAGGGUUUUAUGCAACAUGUGCAAGACGAAGUCGUUUGUAAGGUUGCUGUGAUUUGGAGGACGCUACGGAGGAUUUCCUGCAAUAUGUACAAGACGAAGUCCUCUGUAAGGAUGCUGUGAUUUGGAGGACGCUAUGGAAAAUUCUACUCGUCUCGUUCUCAGAAAACUUUGCGUCGGAGGAAAGUUCGCACUGUUCGGUCUUACGUAAGACUUUCGGCGCCAAUUAUGCAAUUGCAUAUUUCAAUCAGUUCUAGAUAACAAAGCGAGUCCGUUGAAUAUUCGAUCGUACGACAUUGACAAGACAAUUUAGCCAGCGUUGAAAACCUUCGAAUCUGUAUAUCCUAUCAUCUUUCUGUGAAUUACGAAGUGUUCCAAUGCUUCGUCAUGCUACUCGAACAUUUUCAUAAUUUCAUACAUCGAACAAGAUUCAUUAUCCGAUUGUUUGUCCGUAUUUUUUGUAAUUCUUAUCUCAAUGCUUACAAAUUUUCUAAAA
Molecule: non-coding RNA, 815 nt
Organism: Megalopta genalis
Lineage: Eukaryota; Metazoa; Arthropoda; Insecta; Hymenoptera; Halictidae
Source: RefSeq, a predicted model, not a curated record